ACGGUCUUGCUGUCACUUAUAGAUGGAUCCGCGCUGCAUCAGCUAGUUGGUAAGGUAACGGCUUACCAAGGCAACGAUGCAUAGCCGACCUGAGAGGGUGAUCGGCCACACUGGAACUGAGACACGGUCCAGACUCCUACGGGAGGCAGCAGUAGGGAAUCUUCCGCAAUGGGCGAAAGCCUGACGGAGCAACGCCGCGUGAGUGAUGAAGGUCUUCGGAUCGUAAAACUCUGUUAUUAGGGAAGAACAUAUGUGUAAGUAACUGUGCACAUCUUGACGGUACCUAAUCAGAAAGCCACGGCUAACUACGUGCCAGCAGCCGCGGUAAUACGUAGGUGGCAAGCGUUAUCCGGAAUUAUUGGGCGUAAAGCGCGCGUAGGCGGUUUUUUAAGUCUGAUGUGAAAGCCCACGGCUCAACCGUGGAGGGUCAUUGGAAACUGGAAAACUUGAGUGCAGAAGAGGAAAGUGGAAUUCCAUGUGUAGCGGUGAAAUGCGCAGAGAUAUAGAGGAACACCAGUGGCGAAGGCGACUUUCUGGUCUGUAACUGACGCUGAUGUGCGAAAGCGUGGGGAUCAAACAGGAUUAGAUACCCUGGUAGUCCACGCCGUAAACGAUGAGUGCUAAGUGUUAGGGGUUUCCGCCCCUUAGUGCUGCAGCUAACGCAUUAAGCACUCCGCCUGGGGAGUACGACCGCA
This 695-nucleotide ribosomal RNA is filed under the name uncultured Staphylococcus sp. RNAcentral's name for it is "bacterial SSU rRNA". It matches the Rfam family "Bacterial small subunit ribosomal RNA", at positions 202 to 890 of the family's 1533-position model. Lineage: Bacteria; Bacillati; Bacillota; Bacilli; Caryophanales; Staphylococcaceae. The record is from RNAcentral.